Molecule: long non-coding RNA, 959 nt
Filed under: Musa acuminata (dwarf banana)
Lineage: Eukaryota; Viridiplantae; Streptophyta; Magnoliopsida; Zingiberales; Musaceae
Description: long non-coding RNA (MACU_LNC011056)
Source: RNAcentral
AAAAAACCAGUAGACAGAAAAAAGAAGCUCGGAUGCGUCGGAGUAAUCUGAUAGAUAUCAAACUACUAUAAUUGACCUAAAUCUAUCACAUUUGGCACAAAUAUAUUUUUAUUACUUUACUUUAUUAAAUGGGGUGAUAGAGGGAUCACUUAUGUGCUGACCAACUAUGGCACCACCCCAUUAGUAUAUAGUUAGUAUCCUAAUUCGUAGUAAACUUUGACACUGGACUUUGAGAAAAAAAAUAAUUAAUUUAAAAAUAAAUAUAACACACAAUUGGGUAGAAAAAAUCAUUAGUAAAAAAAAAGUAAGGCUCGGUAAUCUGAUAGAUAUCAAAGAGUUGUGAUAAACCCAAAUCUAUUAUAUUUGGCAUAGAAUUACCUUUGUUGUUUUAUUUUAUUGAAUGGGCUUUGAGAAGUUGGAACUCUCAAUCUUAGCCAACUGCUUCAUCACCUCAUUAUUAUUAUGUGAUUAGUAUCUCUGUUUCAAAAUUAACUUUAAUAACGACCAUAAGAAAAUAAUUAAUUUUAAAAUAAAUAAUAGAUAUAAUUAGAUAGAAAAAGCCAAAAAGGCAAAAUAUAAUAUAGUUUGGUUUGGAUGCAAUCAGACCAAAUCUAUCACAUUUGAAAUCGAUACGCCGACCUCUCGACCACAGCAUCACACAUCAGACGGUACAAACCAACUGCGCCACAACCCCUUCUUUGAUGGUUCGGCUUAAAGAUAAAUAGAUAUUAUGAGAUUACCCUUCUCAAUAGAACAGAAUUGCAUAAUAGGAUUGGUCAGCUAAAGGGACCCAUUCUCUGGCCAUCAUCAUCGACCAAUAGCAGUCGGCGUUUCAUGGGCGUCAUCAUGUUCCGUAGAAAAAGCUAAGUUGAUACAAUUAGCAGCUCUGUUGCAUCACAGUAUGCCUUGUUUUGGAUGUAGCUGCUGACAUGGACAUUCUAUACUCUGUACCCAUGUCC